AUUGAACGCUGGCGGAAUGCUUUACACAUGCAAGUCGAACGGCAGCACGGACUUCGGUCUGGUGGCGAGUGGCGAACGGGUGAGUAAUGUAUCGGAACGUGCCCAGUCGUGGGGGAUAACGUAGUGAAAAUUACGCUAAUACCGCAUACGAUCUAUGGAUGAAAGCGGGGGAUGGCAAGCCCUCGCGCGAUUGGAGCGGCCCAUAUCAGAUUAGGUAGUUGGUGGGGUAAAGGGCCACCAAGCUAACGAUCUGUAGCUGGUCUGAGAGGACGACCAGCCACACUGGAACUGAGACACGGUCCAGACUCCUACGGGAGGCAGCAGUGGGGAAUUUUGGACAAUGGGCGAAAGCCUGAUCCAGCCAUUCCGCGUGCAGGAUGAAGGCCCUCGGGUUGUAAACUGCUUUUGUACAGAACGAAAAGGUUUCUACUAAUACUAGGAGCUCAUGACGGUACUGUAAGAAUAAGCACCGGCUAACUACGUGCCAGCCGCCGCGGUAA
This 500-nucleotide ribosomal RNA is filed under the name uncultured bacterium. RNAcentral describes it as "partial 16S ribosomal RNA". It matches the Rfam family "Bacterial small subunit ribosomal RNA", at positions 30 to 523 of the family's 1533-position model. The record is from RNAcentral.